This 216-nucleotide ribosomal RNA is filed under the name Glomeromycotina sp. Its description in RNAcentral is "partial small subunit ribosomal RNA". The stretch from base 75 to 216 matches the Rfam family "Eukaryotic small subunit ribosomal RNA", at positions 721 to 864 of the family's 1831-position model. Lineage: Eukaryota; Fungi; Glomeromycota. The record is from RNAcentral.
GGGUCAGUAGGUUGGUCGUGCCACCGGUACGUACUGGUCUCACUGAUUCCUCCUCCCUGAAGAAUCGUAAUGCCAUUAAUUUGGUGUUGCGGGGAAACAGGACUGUUACUUUGAAAAAAUUAGAGUGUUUAAAGCAAGCUAACGCUUGAAUACAUUAGCAUGGAAUAAUGAAAUAGGACGAUCGAUCCUAUUUUGUUGGUUUCUAGGAUUGACGUA